AAUGCCAGUUUCUAACUCCCAGAAACCCAUUCUAGGACCCAAACACAUGUGAUCUCUUUGGGAAAUUUUCUAGUUCAGUUCAACAAAUGGUAGGCUUUAUCGAUGGUCUCCAGUCCUCUGUGAUGAGUUACUUGGUCUUGUUGCUAUCAUCAAGAGUAUGUAAGAGGUGGUUCAUUUGAAAGAAGAAUAGCAUUGCUUCUAUGGUCCCGCCUUGUUCUGUACACUGUCUUACUGAUUCUGCUGAGGGCUUGUACCCUGCACCAAAGCAUGAUUCCCGGAACACACUCCUUCGCCAGCCCCCAGGCCCUGGUAUAUGCUGUCUCUGCCUAGAAGAUUCCAUCUGCUUUCACCAUUUCCAAAUGCAGAGUCCCAACUUCAAGGCCCAGCUUUAGUGUCAAGCUGUCCACAAAGGUUUUCCAGAUCCCUCCUGGACUCUUCCUCCCUUGUGUUUCCAUGGCCCUUUCCUGUACUUAAAAAAAGAGCAUGCACCACAAUCUGCUGAGUGUUCUACUUAUUACAUUCACAUCAGCCUCAUGGUCUAUAGAGGGCAAACCAGGGUAUCUAGAAAAAUGCCUUAUAUACAUCAGAUUCUCAAUAAACAUCAAGUUUCUUAUUUAUCA
This 620-nucleotide long non-coding RNA is filed under the name Vulpes vulpes (red fox). Its description in RNAcentral is "lncRNA (ENSVVUG00000005023.1)". Lineage: Eukaryota; Metazoa; Chordata; Mammalia; Carnivora; Canidae. The record is from RNAcentral.